GGAGCCUGAACAUAAAACUUCCAUAAUGGAUGAUCCAAAAAAGCAGUAAAAGCUUGCAUGUUUUAUAUGGAAUGCUACAAAGUUUAGUAUUGAUUACUGAGAGUUGCCGUUUAUGUGGCCAUGCUUAGUCUACAGAUUCUGAUCUUCCACAGGGGGAUCUGGGCUUAAUUGAUGCCUCAGCCUGCAUUUCCCAGGAGAAGAGGACUUUGAAAAAACAGAGACAAUAUUUUCAGAAAUUUCCUGACCAGAGGUUCUUGUGAUGAUGAAUGUUUUAACAGUUUGGAAGUCCAAAGAUUAAGGUCUUCUCUGUGCAACACUUUUCCUCAGUGUAUUCAUCUGGUUUGGUCUUCAAUCAUACAAUGAUUCACAUUCAAAAGCGUCAAGAUUCUUGAAAUAGGUGGGGGAAAGGACAUACCAGAGACUGAAUAGGAAUAAUGGUCAUCUUACAGGUAUGGUCCAUUAGGUGCUAAUUCAGUCCCAUGAUCAGUGGCUUGUUUGAGGUAUCCGGAGUAGAUAUUCAAGG
Molecule: long non-coding RNA, 523 nt
Organism: Ostrea edulis (European flat oyster)
Lineage: Eukaryota; Metazoa; Mollusca; Bivalvia; Ostreida; Ostreidae
Exons: 3
Source: RefSeq, a predicted model, not a curated record